Molecule: ribosomal RNA, 432 nt
Filed under: uncultured bacterium
Lineage: Bacteria
Description: partial 16S ribosomal RNA
Rfam family: Bacterial small subunit ribosomal RNA
Source: RNAcentral
AACGAACGCUGGCGGCAUGCCUAACACAUGCAAGUCGAACGAGACCUUCGGGUCUAGUGGCGCACGGGUGCGUAACGCGUGGGAAUCUGCCCUUCGGUUGGGAAUAACUGAGAGAAAUUUCAGCUAAUACCUUAUAAUGUCUUCGGACCAAAGAUUUAUCGCCGAGGGAUGAGCCCGCGUAGGAUUAGGUAGUUGGUGGGGUAAUGGCCUACCAAGCCGACGAUCCUUAGCUGGUCUGAGAGGAUGAUCAGCCACACUGGGACUGAGACACGGCCCAGACUCCUACGGGAGGCAGCAGUGGGGAAUAUUGGACAAUGGGCGAAAGCCUGAUCCAGCAAUGCCGCGUGAGUGAUGAAGGCCUUAGGGUUGUAAAGCUCUUUUACCCGGGAUGAUAUGACAGUACCGGGAGAAUAAGCUCCGGCUAACUCCGUG